AUACUAAGCUGGCAGGGGAGAUACCAUGAAUCAUGAAGGCGGCUUUGCCAGGGCGAGGAUUAUCCCUUGCAUUCCGGAUGUACUUACCCCAGCGACUUCCCCAAAUGUGGGAAACUCGACUGUAUAGUUUGUGGUGGGUGGGGACAGUUUGCAAUCUCCCCUG
Molecule: small nuclear RNA, 163 nt
Organism: Echinops telfairi (small Madagascar hedgehog)
Lineage: Eukaryota; Metazoa; Chordata; Mammalia; Afrosoricida; Tenrecidae
Product: U1 spliceosomal RNA
Exons: 1
Source: RefSeq, a predicted model, not a curated record